AGUGGGGAAUAUUGGACAAUGGGCGAAAGCCUGAUCCAGCAAUGCCGCGUGAGUGAUGAAGGCCUUAGGGUUGUAAAGCUCUUUUACCAGGGAUGAUAAUGACAGUACCUGGAGAAUAAGCUCCGGCUAACUCCGUGCCAGCAGCCGCGGUAAUACGGAGGGAGCUAGCGUUGUUCGGAAUUACUGGGCGUAAAGCGCACGUAGGCGGCUUUUCAAGUCAGGGGUGAAAUCCCGGGGCUCAACCCCGGAACUGCCCUUGAAACUGGAUGGCUAGAAUACUGGAGAGGUGAGUGGAAUUCCGAGUGUAGAGGUGAAAUUCGUAGAUAUUCGGAAGAACACCAGUGGCGAAGGCGACUCACUGGACAGUUAUUGACGCUGAGGUGCGAAAGCGUGGGGAGCAAA
This 402-nucleotide ribosomal RNA is filed under the name uncultured Erythrobacter sp. RNAcentral's name for it is "bacterial SSU rRNA". It matches the Rfam family "Bacterial small subunit ribosomal RNA", at positions 353 to 772 of the family's 1533-position model. Lineage: Bacteria; Pseudomonadati; Pseudomonadota; Alphaproteobacteria; Sphingomonadales; Erythrobacteraceae. The record is from RNAcentral.